AGUGGGAUAGUUGGGUGAAAUGGUGGUUCCAUUCCAAGUUUUCUAAGGAAUCUCCAUACUACUUUCCAGACUGGUUGCACCAAUUUGCAGUCCCACCAACUAU
RNAcentral lists this microRNA precursor (103 nucleotides) under Marmota monax (woodchuck). Lineage: Eukaryota; Metazoa; Chordata; Mammalia; Rodentia; Sciuridae. The record is from RNAcentral.